CGCGGAGGGAGCCCCGCCGCCGUGACGGUGAGCCCGGCCCGCGGCCGCCGCCUGGCCGGCGGUCCCGAGCGCCGCCCGGCGCGGAGUCCUCUGGGAAGGAAAAGGAAAGUAGCGCUGGACAAACUUUAAAAUAAUUUCAAAUUUCACUGGCUAGAAAGGGGACAGUGACCCAGGCACUCUAAAGCCUAAAUCAAGCUAACACAAGAAGCCAAUGCUCCAGCCAUAAGCAAGAACAGGUUGGUGGAGGAUUAAGGAACAGUGACAGAUACCUGGACUCUGGAAGAGGUUGAGUAUGUAUGAGUGAGAAGAUGAUCCUUGAAUGCAGAUCUCCAAAACUGAAUGAAAAUAAGUAUUAAGAACACAUGAAGGGGAAAAAAAAAAAACUGAAGGGGGUGGAGAGAGGAAUAGGUCAGGAAGAAGAAAUUGCAGUGUGGUAAAAGAACAGGUGGAGGUGAACAAUGGAGCUAGAGACCUAUGCAAAAAUAAAUGAAAAGAUUGAAGGAAAAACAUUAUUUUAUGUUUCAGAGAACUGAAGGAAGUAAUUAAGAUGAAAUCUGGGAGAAAAUCACAGAGAAUAAACAUGGAAGGCUACAAACUUCGUUGCAGCUCACAGCUUUCCCAGUGUGCUGAAUGACUAACUCAAUCUCAUCCAACUUGUGAAAUACUCAAAAUACCAUUAGUUAAUUUUGUAACCUCCUCUCUGGAAAUGCAGUACACUUUUUAUACCACUAAA
Vidua chalybeata is the source of this 733-nucleotide long non-coding RNA. RefSeq lists it as uncharacterized. NCBI's taxonomy places the organism in Eukaryota, Metazoa, Chordata, Aves, Passeriformes, Viduidae. The transcript has 3 exons. The record is from RefSeq and is a predicted model, not a curated record.